CGAGACAAAGCCAAACCUGUCGCAAGACAGGGACGGAAAGCCACGGGUCUGUGAAGUGUGAAGAUAGUCGGGUUGCCUUGG
RNAcentral lists this non-coding RNA (81 nucleotides) under Desulfobulbaceae bacterium. RNAcentral's name for it is "c-di-GMP sequence". It matches the Rfam family "c-di-GMP-I-GGC riboswitch aptamer". The record is from RNAcentral. Lineage: Bacteria; Pseudomonadati; Thermodesulfobacteriota; Desulfobulbia; Desulfobulbales; Desulfobulbaceae.